UGGGGAAUUUUGGACAAUGGGCGAAAGCCUGAUCCAGCAAUGCCGCGUGUGUGAAGAAGGCCUUCAGGUUGUAAAGCACUUUUGUCCGGAAAGAAAUCCUUGGCUCUAAUACAGUCGGGGGAUGACGGUACCGGAAGAAUAAGCACCGGCUAACUACGUGCCAGCAGCCGCGGUAAUACGUAGGGUGCAAGCGUUAAUCGGAAUUACUGGGCGUAAAGCGUGCGCAGGCGGUUUGCUAAGACCGAUGUGAAAUCCCCGGGCUCAACCUGGGAACUGCAUUGGUGACUGGCAGGCUAGAGUAUGGCAGAGGGGGGUAGAAUUCCACGUGUAGCAGUGAAAUGCGUAGAGAUGUGGAGGAAUACCGAUGGCGAAGGCAGCCCCCUGGGCCAAUACUGACGCUCAUGCACGAAAGCGUGGGGAGCAAACAGGAUUAGAUACCCUGGUAGUCCACGCCCUAAACGAUGUCAACUAGUUGUUGGGGAUUCAUUUCCUUAGUAACGUAGCUAACGCGUGAAGUUGACCGCCUGGGGAGUACGGUCGCAAGAUUAAAACUUAAAGGAAUUGACGGGGUCAUAGCUGUUUCCU
Molecule: ribosomal RNA, 585 nt
Filed under: uncultured bacterium
Lineage: Bacteria
Description: partial 16S ribosomal RNA
Rfam family: Bacterial small subunit ribosomal RNA
Source: RNAcentral